CCUACGGGCGGCAGCAGUGGGGAAUAUUGCACAAUGGGGGAAACCCUGAUGCAGCAACGCCGCGUGAGUGAAGAAGUAUUUCGGUAUGUAAAGCGCUAUCAGCAGGGAAGAAGAAAGACGGUACCUGACUAAGAAGCCCCGGCUAACUACGUGCCAGCAGCCGCGGUAAUACGUAGGGGGCAAGCGUUAUCCGGAUUUACUGGGUGUAAAGGGAGCGUAGACGGCUGUGCAAGUCUGAAGUGAAAGCCCGUGGCUCAACCGCGGAACUGCUUGUGAAACUGUAUAGCUGGAGUACUGGAGAGGCAGGCGGAAUUCCUAGUGUAGCGGUGAAAUGCGUAGAUAUUAGGAGGAACACCAGUGGCGAAGGCGGCCUGCUGGACAGAAACUGACGUUGAGGCUCGAAAGCGUGGGAAGCAAACAGGAUUAGAUACCCCGGUAGUCC
This 442-nucleotide ribosomal RNA is filed under the name uncultured bacterium. RNAcentral describes it as "partial 16S ribosomal RNA". It matches the Rfam family "Bacterial small subunit ribosomal RNA", at positions 338 to 796 of the family's 1533-position model. The record is from RNAcentral.